GAUGAACGCUGGCGGCGUGCCUAAUACAUGCAAGUCGAGCGAACAGACGAGGAGCUUGCUCCUCGGACGUUAGCGGCGGACGGGUGAGUAACACGUGGAUAACCUACCUAUAAGACUGGGAUAACUUCGGGAAACCGGAGCUAAUACCGGAUAAUAUAUUGAACCGCAUGGGUCAAUGGUGAAAGACGGCUGUGCUGUCACUAAUAGAUGGAUCCGCGCCGCAUUAGCUAGUUGGUAAGGUAACGGCUUAUCAAGGCAACGAUGCGUAGCCGACCGGAGAGGGUGGUCGCCCACCUUGGAACUGAGACACGGUCCAUACUCCUACGGUAGGCAGCAGUAGGGAAUCUUCCGCAAUGGGCGAAAGCCUGACGGAGCAACGCCGCGUGAGUGAUGAAGGUCUUCGGAUCGUAAAACUCUGUUAUUAGGGAAGAACAAAUGUGUAAGUAACUAUGCACGUCUUGACGGUACCUAAUCAGAAAGCCACGGCUAACUACGUG
This 497-nucleotide ribosomal RNA is filed under the name uncultured bacterium. RNAcentral's name for it is "partial 16S ribosomal RNA". It matches the Rfam family "Bacterial small subunit ribosomal RNA", at positions 28 to 507 of the family's 1533-position model. The record is from RNAcentral.